AGAGUUGAUCAUGGCUCAGGAUGAACGCUGGCGGCGUGCCUAAUACAUGCAAGUCGAACGAGGUAGCAAUACCGAGUGGCGAACGGGUGAGUAACACGUAGGUAACCUGCCCUUAAGCUUGGGAUACCCAGAGGAAACUUUGGCUAAUACCGGAUAACAACAGAGAAGGCAUCUUCUUUGCUUGAAAGGCCCCUUCAAGGGUCACUUAAGGAUGGACCUGCGGCGCAUUAGCUAGUUGGUGAGAUAACAGCCCACCAAGGCGAGGAUGCGUAGCCGAACUGAGAGGUUGAUCGGCCACAUUGGAACUGAGACACGGUCCAAACUCCUACGGGAGGCAGCAGUAAGGAGUUUUCGGCAAUGGGGGAAACCCUGACCGAGCAACGCCGCGUGAGCGAUGACGGCCCUAUUGGGUUGUAAAGCUCUGUUGUAAGCCAUGAAUGACAGCUUGAGGAAAUGCAAGUUGUUUGACGACAGCUUACCAGAAAGCCACGGCUAACUACGUGCCAGCCGCCGC
Molecule: ribosomal RNA, 514 nt
Filed under: uncultured bacterium
Lineage: Bacteria
Description: bacterial SSU rRNA
Rfam family: Bacterial small subunit ribosomal RNA
Source: RNAcentral